RNAcentral lists this unclassified non-coding RNA (378 nucleotides) under uncultured Parachlamydiaceae bacterium. Its description in RNAcentral is "contains 16S-23S intergenic spacer region". Lineage: Bacteria; Pseudomonadati; Chlamydiota; Chlamydiia; Parachlamydiales; Parachlamydiaceae. The record is from RNAcentral.
UCCUGGUUAACCCAGGCAGUCUCAUUAGAGUUCCCACCAUAACGUGUUGGCAACUAAUGAUAAGGGUUGCGCUCGUUGCUGGACUUAACCAAACACCUCACGGCACGAGCUGACGACAGCCAUGCAGCACCUGUGCACCAGUCCCGAAGGACUAGUAUAUUUCUAUACUAUUCUAGUGCAUGUCAAGUCUGGGUAAGGUUCUUCGCGUUGCAUCGAAUUAAACCACAUACUCCACUGCUUGUGCGGGUCCCCGUCAAUUCUUUUGAGUUUCACCCUUGCGAGCGUACUCCCCAGGCGGUAUACUUAUCGCGUUCGCUACGGCACAACCAGGGUUGAGUCCGGUUACACCAAGUAUACAUCGUUUACGGCAAGGACUAC